Molecule: ribosomal RNA, 395 nt
Filed under: uncultured bacterium
Lineage: Bacteria
Description: partial 16S ribosomal RNA
Rfam family: Bacterial small subunit ribosomal RNA
Source: RNAcentral
AUACGUAGGGUGCAAGCGUUAAUCGGAAUUACUGGGCGUAAAGCGUGCGCAGGCGGUUUUGUAAGACAGUGGUGAAAUCCCCGGGCUCAACCUGGGAACUGCCAUUGUGACUGCAAGGCUGGAGUGCGGCAGAGGGGGAUGGAAUUCCGCGUGUAGCAGUGGAAUGCGUAGAUAUGCGGAGGAACACCGAUGGCGAAGGCAAUCCCCUGGGCCUGCACUGACGCUCAUGCACGAAAGCGUGGGGAGCAAACAGGAUUAGAUACCCUGGUAGUCCACGCCCUAAACGAUGUCAACUGGUUGUUGGGGAUUUAUUUUCUCAGUAACGAAGCUAACGCGUGAAGUUGACCGCCUGGGGAGUACGGCCGCAAGGUUAAAACUUAAAGGAAUUGACGGGG